Molecule: long non-coding RNA, 341 nt
Organism: Leptinotarsa decemlineata (Colorado potato beetle)
Lineage: Eukaryota; Metazoa; Arthropoda; Insecta; Coleoptera; Chrysomelidae
Source: RefSeq, a predicted model, not a curated record
AGGUGGAAAUUACGUGAUGCAAAAUGGAAUGUAUAGUUGUGGGACUUGCACUAAGUCGUACAAGUCAAAAGGUCAAUCGAGAUACUCCUGCCUUUCAUGUGGAAAACACUAUUCGAAACAAACGAAUUUGAGACGACACCAACGGGUUGAAUGUGGAAGGGAAAAAACAGUAUUUUGCAAUUUAUGUGAUUUCAAGUGUUAUUAUAAACACGAAUUGAAGGCGCAUUUACGAGUGAGACACAAUAUCAGUUCCAAACCUGUUUCAAAUCGAAAAGAAAUAUGAAAUUAUGUAACAAUUAACGAAAAUAAAAAAUAUAUACAACAACCAACUAAGUGAAAAA